UUGAACGCUGGCGGUAUGCUUUACACAUGCAAGUCGAACGGGCUAUGGGGCUUGCUCCAUAGUUAGUGGCGAACGGGUGAGUAAUAUAUCGGAACAUAUCCGGAAGUGGGGGAUAACGUAGCGAAAGUUACGCUAAUACCGCAUAUGCCCUGAGGGGGAAAGGGGGGGAUCGCAAGACCUCUCGCUUUCGGAGUGGCCGAUAUCGGAUUAGCUAGUAGGUGAGGUAAAGGCUCACCUAGGCGACGAUCCGUAGCUGGUCUGAGAGGACGACCAGCCACACUGGAACUGAGACACGGUCCAGACUCCUACGGGAGGCAGCAGUGGGGAAUUUUGGACAAUGGGCGAAAGCCUGAUCCAGCCAUACCGCGUGAGUGAAGAAGGCCUUCGGGUUGUAAAGCUCUUUCGGCAGGAACGAAACGGUGCGGGCCAAUACCCCGCAUCAAUGACGGUACCUGAAGAAGAAGCACCGGCUAACUACGU
RNAcentral lists this ribosomal RNA (480 nucleotides) under uncultured bacterium. RNAcentral describes it as "bacterial SSU rRNA". It matches the Rfam family "Bacterial small subunit ribosomal RNA", at positions 30 to 506 of the family's 1533-position model. The record is from RNAcentral.